RNAcentral lists this non-coding RNA (881 nucleotides) under Aspergillus dobrogensis. RNAcentral's name for it is "sequence contains ITS1, 5.8S rRNA gene, ITS2, 28S rRNA gene". The stretch from base 654 to 881 matches the Rfam family "Eukaryotic large subunit ribosomal RNA", at positions 1 to 228 of the family's 3401-position model. Lineage: Eukaryota; Fungi; Ascomycota; Eurotiomycetes; Eurotiales; Aspergillaceae. The record is from RNAcentral.
GCAUUGAUGGCUCGGUGAGGCCUCCGGACUGGCUCAGGAGGGUUGGCAACGACCCCCCAGAGCCGGAAAGCUGGUCAAACCCGGUCAUUUAGAGGAAGUAAAAGUCGUAACAAGGUUUCCGUAGGUGAACCUGCGGAAGGAUCAUUACCGAGUGAGGGUUUCUCUGAAGCCCAACCUCCCACCCGUGUAUACCGUACCCUGUUGCUUCGGCGGGCCCGCCUCACGGCCGCCGGGGGACCUCGCGUCCCCGGGCCCGCGCCCGCCGAAGACCCCAACACGAACACUGUCUGAAAAGUGCAGUCUGAGUCGAUUGUUACCAAUCAGUCAAAACUUUCAACAAUGGAUCUCUUGGUUCCGGCAUCGAUGAAGAACGCAGCGAAAUGCGAUAACUAAUGUGAAUUGCAGAAUUCAGUGAAUCAUCGAGUCUUUGAACGCACAUUGCGCCCCCUGGUAUUCCGGGGGGCAUGCCUGUCCGAGCGUCAUUGCUGCCCUCAAGCACGGCUUGUGUGUUGGGCCCCGUCCCCGGUACCCCCGGGGACGGGCCCGAAAGGCAGCGGCGGCACCGCGUCCGGUCCUCGAGCGUAUGGGGCUUUGUCACCCGCUCUGCAGGCCCGGCCGGCGCCAGCCGACCAACCCAACCAUUUUUUACAGGUUGACCUCGGAUCAGGUAGGGAUACCCGCUGAACUUAAGCAUAUCAAUAAGCGGAGGAAAAGAAACCAACCGGGAUUGCCUCAGUAACGGCGAGUGAAGCGGCAAGAGCUCAAAUUUGAAAGCUGGCUCCUUCGGGGUCCGCAUUGUAAUUUGCAGAGGAUGCUUCGGGUGCGGCCCCUGUCUAAGUGCCCUGGAACGGGCUGUCAGAGAGGGUGAGAAUCCCGUCUGG